GCGUGUUUGCAGCUCUUGGGGGCUUUUCCCCGAGGAGGGAGAAGGGACCGACGGGCUGCCCUUCUCCCUCUUUGGGGAAAAGCCCCCAAGAGCUGCAAACACGC
Molecule: non-coding RNA, 104 nt
Organism: Podarcis lilfordi (Lilford's wall lizard)
Lineage: Eukaryota; Metazoa; Chordata; Lepidosauria; Squamata; Lacertidae
Source: the annotation of a GenBank genome assembly